CAGUAUUCUUGUAAUAUUUUGUUUAAAGCACACCAGAGGCGGUAGGAAUACCAGCUGAUGUUCACCUCUGGUCCUACGGCACCUACUUAAUUGAGGCAAUAAAUCAAAAUACAGCAUCGCCCAGGAGAAAAAAACGUGAUUAUAUGCAUGAGAAAUCUGAAACAUUAAAGCUCAAAACAGCUGUAAUUUCUGCUCUAGACUACUGGGUAUUUCAAGCAAGAGCAUAAUUAUUAACUCAUAAAACCUUCUGGCCUAACUACAGCAGUAAAAUAUUAAUCUUUCAAUCUAUUAAUAUUUUGAAAAGGUAAAGACAGACAACAUUUUCCUUUACUGUUUUGUGUUACAUAUCAGCUGUGAUCAAACAGACCUGCUGGUUUUACCUCGACCAAACCCCAGCAGGAGAGAUUUGAAGCGCGUCAUCUUCAGAAGCCCCACUUAGAACAGCCAUGCUGUCUGAGAACUGCCAGACAGACAACCUGAGCUUUUAGUAACCCAGACUGGACCUGCUGCUGAACUGAGAAAGUGUGGUCUGGACGAUCAGGUGGUGAGGUGGACUGUGAACUGGCUGAAGGAAACAAGCCAAAGAGUUGUGGCCCACGGGGCAGAGUCCGGUUGGAGGCCUGUAUCUGGUGGAGUGCCUCAAGGGUCAGUACUGGGACCAGUACUAUUCAAUGUAUUCAACAAUGACUUGGAUGUGUCAGUAGAGUGUGAUAUCAGCAAGUUUGCUGAUGACACCAAGCUGGGAGGAGUGGCUGACACGCCAGAAGGCUGUGCUGCCAUCCAGCGAGACCUGGACAGGCUAGAGAGCUGGGCGGGGAAAAAUUUAAUUAAAUAUAACAAGGGCAAGUGUAGAGUCUUGCAUCUGGGCAGGAACAACCCCAGGUUCCAGUAUAAGUUGGGGAAUGACCUGUUAGAGAGCAGUGUAGGGGAAAGGGACCUGGGGGUCCUGGUGGACAGCAGGAUGACCAUGAGCCAGCACUGUGCCCUUGUGGCCAGGAAGGCCAAUGGCAUCCUGGGGUGUAUUAGAAGGGGGGUGGUUAGUAGAUCGAGAGAGGUUCUUCUCUCCCUCUACUCCGCCCUGGUGAGACCACAUCUGUAAUAUUGUGUCCAGUUCUAGGCCUCUCAGUUCAAGAAGGACAGGGAACUGCUGGAGAGAGUCCAGUGUAGGGCAACAACGAUGAUUAAGGGAGUGGAGCAUCUCCCUUAUGAGGAAAGGCUGAGGGAGCUGGGGCUCUUUAGCUUGGAGAAGUGGAGACUGAGGUGUGACCUCAUUAAUGUGUAUAAAUAUGUAAAGGGUGAGUGUCACGAGGAUGGAGCCAGGCUCUUCUCAGUGACAACCAAUGAUACGACAAGGGACAGUGGGUUCAAACUGGAACACAAAAGGUUCCAUUUAAAUAUGAGAAUAAACUUCUUCAUGGUGAGGGUUCCAGAGCACUGGAACAGGCUGCCCAGGAAGGUUGUGGAGUCUCCUUCUCUGGAGACAUUCAAAACCGCCUGGACACAUUCCUGUGUAACCUCAUCUAGGUGUUCCUGCUCCGGCAGGGGGAUUGGACUGGAUGAUCUUUCGAGGUCCCUUCCAAUCCCUGACAUUCUGUGAUUCUGUGAACUAUAACCCAGGUACUGGAGCAGGAACUUGGAUGCCUGACAAGUUCACUGUCAGGUAUUAACUUGUUUAUUGGAAAGUUACUCUUCUGUAUGUCCUAGUACCAGGUAUGAUUUUGAAAGUAUUGUCAUACUGGGUGUUGCAGAGGAGAGAUGUAGGGUUCUUACAGCAGAACAAUGUUUAGAUCGCUCAAAGGAAAUUGCGACUUAAGAGAGUUUGGUGGCAGGUUCACUCUGUUAUUUGCUGCUUGGAGGAAAUAUGCCAGGCUGUGGCAGAUGCACUCAACUCCCCCCCCAGCCAAACCAACAGCAGUUUGGUCCAGGCUCCAGAGAAGGGAAAGGCCUGAGCAGUAGCCAGGCUAAAAACUCCUUCUAGGAAACCCACAAGGAGGCAGACGAGCAGCUGAACACCAAUAAGUUAGGGGUACAAGGAGUAUGCAAUUCAGCUACGAGUCAACCGCUUUAUUCUAUAAAUAUGACAGCCUGGGUGAGCCCAGUUUGAGCUCUCUCUCUGCUAAAUAAGCUGGCUGUACGUUGAUGGUUUUUACUACUCUCCUACUCAUCUACUAUCAGUAGAUGGCCCUAAUUUAAGUUUCAUAUCAAUCAUUAAGUCAGUGCGUACUGAAUAGAAUGAAUCACCUGAAAUUAUAAGGUGGUGUGAUUUUUAAUAUACUCUCUGCUUUAUGUUACUUAGUAAGCUGACUUUGCCAAAAUCUUAAGCUGUAAAAUUCUGUUCAAAACGGCUACAGACUGCACUGAACACCUGCAAGAUAAGGUCUGGUUCACACUUUGCUGGAAGAAUGAAAUGGACUGGGGAGAAAAUAACGUCUUCAAGGCUAAUGUGAAGAUGUUACAGACAUCUGCAAAACAGGGCCCAUUUUUCACUUUGCUAAGAAAAGGAUUUAUUCAGAUAAAACAGCACCUUCAAGGCUAUGGACUAUAAACAAUAUAUACAGCUAAACAAAGCAAAGGCCUAUCUGAGAUCAGAGGAGAAGAUCCAAUGAGAAGCAAGGAGACCCCACACUCAAAUAUUGCUGUUAGACUGAAUCAUGGUGUAAAUGGUCUGGGAAAAUAUAAAAAUCUAUGAUUCUUCAUGCUUGGCUGGACCUCUGUGCCGGUACCCAGCUUAAGCCAGCCCUCCUGCUGUUCUGUUCCUUUUUUAUUAUUAUUUCCACGUAUUCUGUUGCCUGAAAGUUUGUUCCAUGAACAGUUAUCAGGCCUCGCCUGAGAGUUUGCCUUCAGAGUCCUAGAGUACAGAGUCCAGAGCGAACCCUGAAAGUUUGCUCCAUGAGUGGUUAUCAGGUAGGAAAAUGCCUGAAAGUUUACUCUGUGAACAGUUAUCAGGCUCCUGGAAGGAAGGUGAGCAGCUUUUGGCUUUGCAUAUUUCCUCCAUGCAGUAACUGUGAACCCACCACCGAACUCUUCUAAGUCGUACUUUUCUUUGAGAGAUCUAAACAUCCCUCUGUGGUGAGCAGAACCCUAAAUUGCUCCCCUGCAACAAAUUGGUGUCAGAAUUGGGAUGGCAGGCAUUAUCACUGAUUAUUUACAUAGGCAUGGGGUGAUUUCAAGUCCUAAGUUCUCAGAGGAAUGGGUUCAUGUUAAUUGGCAUGAUUGGAAAGCUGUGGAAGAACAGCUAAUGGCAACCAGGGGCCGUACAAAGGACGGAAAGGGAAUUAUUUGCAAAAUGUUAAGUAGAAGCCACAUGUCGGGAGUGGGAGAACCUUUAAUAGAGAAAAACAGGACAGGAAAACUGCUGAACUAUUACUGUCCUUGGGAACUGAGCAGCUGCAGAAUCAGGAGAAGAAAAGGAGAAGAAACAAAAGAGUAAAAAAUUGAAAUGAUACUUAUUUGGGCUUCUCAUCCCCCUGAUAUUCUACAUAUUAAGAAACUAAUUGUGUCUCCUGAAGAAUGGGAUGAGAAUAUUUGGUGUGAAUCCUCAGACUCUCAUAUUGAGUUGGAUCUUGCCUUAAAAAGCAGGGAGGUGGUGAGAGCACAAUCCCCCAUACAAAUGAUGCGGCAGCAAGAAUAAGCAGAUGGGGAGGGACAGAUCAUGCAUACUUGUGCUCUGAAAGAGUUAAGGGAAUUUUUAGACAUCUCUCAGUAGACGAGGGAGAAAGGAAUUCUAGCAUGGGUUUUGUGAACUCAGGUUAGUGGAGUUUUAUCUAUCAAUUUUUUAGCAGAUGAAAGUGAUUUGUAAAACUGUGUAGCCAAUGAUUAUCAGAUACAAUGAGGAUAUGCUCAGCUGCAAAAUGUCAGAGGUCCUGAUGGGUGAGAUUUUAUUGCAGGUAUGGUAUAUCAAUGAUUAUGUGCAGCAGUUUUAACAGCAUAUGCUGAACCUGUUGAAUUGUUGUUCCUUGGAAAUUGGUGUACAAUGGAGGAAGGUAUUAGUUUAGUGCAGCAGAUGGUGAUGGCUUAUGCAUUGAUUAUGAGAGCUGAUCCGGACGGAGUAGCAGUGACAAGAAGAAUUGAAAUGCAGCUUUUGAGAGGAGUGCCUGCCCCACUAAAACCUGUGACUAUACCGGCAGUGACAAAUGCUACGGGUAAAUAUAGGUGCAAAUACCUCAAGGGAAAUUUGGGUUAUAACUUUGGAACCCUUUGUUUGGGUGGUGAAUGAAGGAAAGCUGCCAAUGCUGUACCCACACCCCACUCUGCCUGCUGCCUCUAGUGCAGGACCAGUUUGCCUUUAUCGGGCAACAAAAACAAUAUACUUUGCAAGUGUUGCCUCAGAAAUACAAACAUAGUCCUUCCGUUUGCUGCCAAAUGAUAGUAGCUGAUACAGCACUGUGGUCAGAUACCAUUAGCGUGUGCCAUUAUAUUGACAAUCUAUUGAUUAUGAAAGUUUCUCAACAAGAAACUGAAGCAGCUGCCGAAUUUCUCAAAGUGCAUUUACAAGACCAAGGUUGGACAAUUAAUCUGAAUAAAACUUAGGGUCCUAGUGCUACUGUACUAUUUUUAGGAACAGUUUGGCACGGACAGCUUAGAGAAGAACCAGAUAAGGUACAGCACACAGUCCAGCAGUUUUCUGUACCAGCUGCAGUAAAGCAAUUGCAUGCUUUCUUGGGAUUUUUAGGGCAUUGGAGAACUUUUAUCCCUACAUCUGUGGAGGAAGAUUCCCCUUGAGAAGGGUUAAUAAAAGAGCACAAUAAUGUUGAUUGACUUGAAUCACAAAACGACAGGGAAGUAGAUGAGAUGAUCUCUGCCCAGCUGCCUGCUCAGGCUCUAACUUUGCGUGUAGCUUGUGGACAUGGAUCAGCUUAUACUGCACACACAUGGAACAUACCUCACGAUCAAACUCCUUUGCUAUUUUAUGCUUAUAAAACAUGCACACAUCGUUGUGCUACUUGUACACAGUUACAUUUAAGGGUGUUAUGCAGUAAACAUAAAACAGGGUCAGUGGGCCUUGGAUACCUGGCAGGUCGAUUAUAUGGGCCCCCUGCUCCCAUCUAGGGGGUGAUAAUAUGCAUACACUGCUGUGGAUACAGUGUCAGGACUAACUACAGGGGAAAUGGAAUUAUUCACACCAAUGGAUUGUGAAGUGGGACCACAGUCUCUUGAUACAGAUGUGAAAAUUCAGUUCUUGUAUUUCAGGUGACUUCAGUGAACACCUGUACCUUUUCUAGAGGAGACGAUGUUGGAACAGUGUUACCAGUGUCAAGAAUGCAGCAUUGCAUUGAAGUUCAAUCUGAAAAAGCACAAGACAGAGCUCUGCAAACCGUGACAUUAGGUUAUGAGACCCAGAACAACAUAAGCUGCAGGAGCUGGAGCAAUGCUUAUGUAUUACUGGAAGGUGAUGACACCUCUGUUUUCCUUCCCUACCACAGGUUGGCCCAUCAUACUUUGCAGCCUUGUACUACAAGCGUGUGCCCUGGAUAUGUUUCUGCAAGACCAAUAUAUAUACUUAAAUUUGGUCAGCCUAUGCUGUGACUAACUCAUCUGUCUUUUGUAUUAAGGGAAGACUUACAGCUGCAGAUUUUUUGACAAAAUGUUUUAUUAGUAUGACAACCCCUGUAGCUGUAUUACAGAAUUAAACUAUGCUAAAGGAUUUUGAUAUUAA
Columba livia (rock pigeon) is the source of this 5656-nucleotide long non-coding RNA. RefSeq lists it as uncharacterized. NCBI's taxonomy places the organism in Eukaryota, Metazoa, Chordata, Aves, Columbiformes, Columbidae. The transcript has 2 exons. The record is from RefSeq and is a predicted model, not a curated record.